UGAAUCAAUAUUGAGGACUGGUGGCUUACGAGUCUAGGAUGAAGAAUGCUUAUCGAGAAGUGUGAGGUACAA
This is a small nucleolar RNA of Rhinolophus ferrumequinum (greater horseshoe bat), 72 nucleotides long. NCBI's taxonomy places the organism in Eukaryota, Metazoa, Chordata, Mammalia, Chiroptera, Rhinolophidae. The record is from Ensembl.